GGAGAGAUGCCAGAGUCCGGUUUAUCGGGGCCGCCUCGAAAGCGGUUGUGCCGCAAGGUACCGGGGGUUCGAAUCCUCCUCUCUCCGCCA
This 90-nucleotide transfer RNA is filed under the name Candidatus Orphnella occulta. Its description in RNAcentral is "tRNA-Ser". It matches the Rfam family "tRNA". From Rfam's summary of the family: Transfer RNA (tRNA) molecules are approximately 80 nucleotides in length. Their secondary structure includes four short double-helical elements and three loops (D, anti-codon, and T loops). Lineage: Bacteria; Pseudomonadati; Candidatus Omnitrophota. The record is from RNAcentral.